Pelobates cultripes (western spadefoot toad) is the source of this 168-nucleotide non-coding RNA. The record is from the annotation of a GenBank genome assembly. Lineage: Eukaryota; Metazoa; Chordata; Amphibia; Anura; Pelobatidae.
GCAGACACAUUCCAGCCAAUCAGCAGCAGACCCUCCCUCCAAGACCCUCCCACCUCCUGGACAGCAUCCAUUUUACAUUCAUUGUGAAGCUGCAUUCUUAGUGAGCUGUCCAGGAGGUGGGAGGGUCUGGGAGGGAGGGUCUGCUGCUGAUUGGCUGGAAUGUGUCUG